Long non-coding RNA from Ictalurus punctatus (channel catfish), 1962 nucleotides. NCBI's taxonomy places the organism in Eukaryota, Metazoa, Chordata, Actinopteri, Siluriformes, Ictaluridae. The record is from Ensembl.
CAAAAGAAUAUGGACAGAUUUCUUAAAAGAAAAGCUCCAGAUGCUUCUGGACCAUGAACUUCAUCCUCAGGUAGCUAAAGCCUUUCGCCUCCACUGACUGCGCGCGCACCUCCACAAACGAACGAUGCGUUUAUACUUCACUUCAAAGAAUCAUAUACGAAUCAUAUAAAACCCAUUAACCCUUGAGAUCAUCACUUCAGACAUUACAGCACAGCUAUAACCACGAGAACAUGAUUAAAACGAAAUGGAUCAACCUCAAUUUAUUUUAUUUUAUUCGUUUCAUUAAGAUUUUUUUAAACAUGGACCUUCACUCGCAUUAAAUAGACUUAUUAUUAUUGAGCUAUCAUAGGCUCAUUUUGUAAAUGUUAGCAAUAACUGUAAACAAAAAGUGGGAGCUUCCUGCAGAUGUCAUUUCUCACGUUUACAAAAUCAGGUGUCAUUAUGUUCGCCCAUCAGUGUAAACGUCUCUACGUAUAAAGACAGAAGAAUGAGGUUUAAUCACUGUCUGAUGGAGUAGUGUAGUGACUGUGUUUAUUUGUGAAGAUUGAAAACAUGGUGCACUCCAGAAAACUUUCCGCUUUGGCUUUAUUCUUUCAGCAGUAUGUACAAAGCAAAUCGAAAUGACUAUUUUUAAAAAAGCUUUCCAUGUUUUUUUUUUGCCAUCUGGAUAUCUCUAUGGUCCCUCAUAGAUGAAUCAUAACGAUGCCUGUACAAUCGGACCUUUCAGCAAGAGUCAACUCCAAGUCACUCACUUCAUAGCCGUGCGAACUGGCACGGAACGCCUGCACUCCAGCUCGACCUGCCCACCGCAGUGACGUCAAUUUAUCCGCACUGUGACUUGCGCUAUUGCGGACGCGUCGAGUAAUAGCCCAGGUUUAACGCUAACGGUUUCUUUCAAAAUGUUCAAACGGUGCUGUGACUGAAAAAGGCUGGGAAACACUGUUCUAUGACAGGCUUUUUGCUUCUCUUUUCUUUGCUCGGCGGUAAUCAGCGCUACAGUAGCUACAGAAAUGUCUCCAGCCGGCUGUUUUAUUUGGCUCUUUAUUCUUUUACUCCUGGGACGCCGCGGCGUUCUAACUUUGCAGAAUUGCUCUGAGCUGCACAACAUCACCUGUGAUCGCAUGGGUAAUGCCAUGUUGAACACUAGUGAGAUUUACCUGAUGAGGAACGACUGCAUGUGGAGUUUUAGAGACACGGAGGAUAAAGUUCUUGAACUACUAACACCAUCUCCAAAUGUGUCUGUCCAAUGUACCUUGCAUGAAAUUCGCUUGAAGGUGCACUGUAUCACCCCAAAGUAUGAGUAUUGGGCUUGCUACAAUCUUACUAAUCAAACUAACAGUCAAACCGGUGCGCCAAGUCCUCAUGGAACAUCCAAGCAUAGAGUGCGUGAGUUGGUGAUCAUAGCUGUGGCUCUGUUUCUGAUGGCGCUGGUUGGUCUUGUCAUUGUUUCAAAAAAGGACAAAAAGGCUACUGUUAAAACAUACCUGGCCACUGCCCAGAGACCCUAUCCCAGAGUGCUAAUCAACAACGUCCAAUGGAUCCAUGUUCCAGUCUUAGUGAAUCUGACGGUGUGGUCUCCAGAUUUGGAUGAACGGUGUCAGGGUUAGGGUCUAACCCUAGGUAUAAAGACCUCUCGCCAACAGCAUUCUUGACGUAUCAUGGUGCUAUAGCAACGAGCUUAUCCACAGACCACCGAACAGAAGAUCUACAAGUAAGUCAUCCCAGGAAAACUACCUUCAGGCAGAUGUUAUUCGGGUUUGUGGAGAGGGUACUUGGAGUCAUCUGGAAGAAUCUGGGAAUAUCCAGUAGGAUUAGUGCCCAAGAACUCUGCAAGAAUGAACUCAAGCUUAAGGCCUUAGUGGGGCUGCAGGUUUUCAAACAGUAGAUUAUCUACAUGAGGGACUACAGGAAGAUGAAGUGACUGUACAGGAUGGUCACACCACCCCAUCUGCCCAAUCUUUC